Molecule: unclassified non-coding RNA, 1414 nt
Filed under: Athalia rosae (coleseed sawfly)
Lineage: Eukaryota; Metazoa; Arthropoda; Insecta; Hymenoptera; Athaliidae
Description: misc RNA ENSAEAG00005005501.1
Source: RNAcentral
GCUGAACAAUGAGAUACAAACCUCCAGCAAGGAGGGUACGGAAACCGACGAAGGAGGGGUAGCCGGGCGGUUGGCCGUCACCGCUCUUUUACACAGGUUCCAAGAGGUGCUGCGACGUUACAUCGAGGACGAGAGACGCAGCGGUAAAUGCCCUCUGCCAAGAUACAGAUUGUCGGAAAUAUCAUUCGUAUUGAAAGCGGUAGCUACCCUGGUGGUGUCCUUGAAAAAGGCUCCCCCUAACAAGGUCGAUCGAUCGGUCUGGGAGCAACUGAUAGGCUUGUAUCCCUAUCUGGUCGAAUGUACCGUGGCCACGGCUUCGGGCCAGGUUUCACGUUCCCUGCGAGAAGCUCUGCUCCAGUACCACGAUCUGCUGCGAUCACCCACCAGUAAUUUACCAACGACAAACGGCGUUUGACCGGCAAACUCCUUUGGGAAUAACGAUCGUCGGGAUACCUAUUCGUAUUUGUACACGGAGUGAGUAUAAAUUCUUUACUUGAAUAUCGCCUAUCAACGAACAUUCCUAAAAGUGCGAAUUAGAAUACGAUGUUGAUUUUUAUCACACGGUUUGUUAAGGGGUCAAACAAAUAUAUGUAUAUAUAUACUACACAGACUGGACAACGUGAAAUUGCGCACCCCAUUUGCACAUGCGCGAUCGUCGGCAUUUGUUUCACAGCUGUCAAAUACAAGGAACUAACCUGAACUUUUCGACGAGUGUAUUUCUGUCUACAUUUAAUUAAUCUCUCAUUCAAUUUUAUUCCAUCUAACUUAUCUGUGUCUGGUUUUGUGUCGCAUUAUUCACCUGACACACCAUACCUCAGUCACAUUCAAAUACGGCGAUCUCAGCUGUAUUGGCGAUCGACAAUUUGACAGCUGAGGCUGAAAUCUGAGGCUGUUGGUACAACACGCUAGCAGCUGACAAAUUCGACCGUCGUUUUGAUUCGCGCUUGCGCACAAAAAAUGGGUGCGCAAUUUCACCUUGUCCGCUCUGUAUAUAUAUAUAUAUAUAUAUAUAUAUAUAUAUAUAUAUAUAUAUAUAUAUAUAUCUGUAUUCGCAAUUUUCAUACAUGUUUAUACAUAUUACCGCAGACACAGUACCAUUUUUAUAGAACUUUAGCGGUCCCGUCUAUAUAAGGCUUUAUGAUAACGAAAGACGAUAGGUUUUUCCGGUCGUUGACACGACGAACAAGUUCGAUGAAUAAUUUUCAGUGAUUAUCGUGAAUAUUAUUUUAAAUAUGAUGUAAUAUUACGUGACAGUUGUUGAAACGGCAACAAAAAAAAUCCCACAACCCGUUCGUCGAUAUUUUAAUAGACAUUGUUACACCCCAUCCCAGUUUUAUACUAUAUGUAUACUCAGUCAUAGGCUAUAAUCAAAACCGGUAUAUCGAAUGAAUAGUUGAAAUGGUAUCGAACCGCU